UCCGUAGGCGGUGCGGCAAGUCGGAAGUGAAAUCUCAGGGCUUAACCCUGGGGCUGCUUCCGAAACUGCCGUGCUCGAGUGCGAGAGAGGCGAGUGGAAUUGCAGGUGUAGCGGUGAAAUGCGUAGAUAUCUGCAGGAACAUCCGAGGCGAAAGCGGCUCGCUGGAUCGCAACUGACGCUAAGGGACGAAAGCUAGGGGAGCAAGCAGGAUUAGAUACCCUGGUAGUCCUAGCCCUAAACGAUCAGGACUGGGCGUGGGCCUCGUACGGGGCUCGUGCCGCAGCUAACGCGUUAAGUCCUGCGCCUGGGGAGUACGGUCGCAAGGCUGAA
This 330-nucleotide ribosomal RNA is filed under the name uncultured bacterium. Its description in RNAcentral is "bacterial SSU rRNA". It matches the Rfam family "Bacterial small subunit ribosomal RNA", at positions 568 to 898 of the family's 1533-position model. The record is from RNAcentral.